This 251-nucleotide unclassified non-coding RNA is filed under the name Steinernema sp. JM-2011. RNAcentral's name for it is "inernal transcribed spacer 2". Lineage: Eukaryota; Metazoa; Nematoda; Chromadorea; Rhabditida; Steinernematidae. The record is from RNAcentral.
UAAUUCGUUACUUGCAAUCAGCUUUGAUUGUUUUUUCGAUUAGUUACUUUUUUUUUAUGAAAGGUACCUUUUCGGCAUGAAUUAAUUGUAGUUUAAUUCGAGAGCGGUGCGUACUGUUCGAGAACUAUCGCUAAAAUUCUGCGCAGUUGGUUGUUGACGCGUUUCUUGUCGGCUGACGUGUACGGGAAUUCGUACGUGUGUAUCUACAAAAGUCAGUGCAACUAUAGUGGAAUUUGAAAAUUUUUCGAUUU